GAGCGAACGGACGAGAAGCUUGCUUCUCUGAUGUUAGCGGCGGACGGGUGAGUAACACGUGGAUAACCUACCUAUAAGACUGGGAUAACUUCGGGAAACCGGAGCUAAUACCGGAUAAUAUUUUGAACCGCAUGGUUCAAAAGUGAAAGACGGUCUUGCUGUCACUUAUAGAUGGAUCCGCGCUGCAUUAGCUAGUUGGUAAGGUAACGGCUUACCAAGGCAACGAUGCAUAGCCGACCUGAGAGGGUGAUCGGCCACACUGGAACUGAGACACGGUCCAGACUCCUACGGGAGGCAGCAGUAGGGAAUCUUCCGCAAUGGGCGAAAGCCUGACGGAGCAACGCCGCGUGAGUGAUGAAGGUCUUCGGAUCGUAAAACUCUGUUAUUAGGGAAGAACAUAUGUGUAAGUAACUGUGCACAUCUUGACGGUACCUAAUCAGAAAGCCACGGCUAACUACGUGCCAGCAGCCGCGGUAAUACGUAGGUGGCAAGCGUUAUCCGGAAUUAUUGGGCGUAAAGCGCGCGUAGGCGGUUUUUUAAGUCUGAUGUGAAAGCCCACGGCUCAACCGUGGAGGGUCAUUGGAAACUGGAAAACUUGAGUGCAGAAGAGGAAAGUGGAAUUCCAUGUGUAGCGGUGAAAUGCGCAGAGAUAUGGAGGAACACCAGUGGCGAAGGCGACUUUCUGGUCUGUAACUGACGCUGAUGUGCGAAAGCGUGGGGAUCAAACAGGAUUA
Molecule: ribosomal RNA, 734 nt
Filed under: uncultured Staphylococcus sp.
Lineage: Bacteria; Bacillati; Bacillota; Bacilli; Caryophanales; Staphylococcaceae
Description: bacterial SSU rRNA
Rfam family: Bacterial small subunit ribosomal RNA
Source: RNAcentral